AUUGAACGCUGGCGGCAGGCCUAACACAUGCAAGUCGAGCGGAUGAAGGGAGCUUGCUCCUGGAUUCAGCGGCGGACGGGUGAGUAAUGCCUAGGAAUCUGCCUGGUAGUGGGGGAUAACGUCCGGAAACGGGCGCUAAUACCGCAUACGUCCUGAGGGAGAAAGUGGGGGAUCUUCGGACCUCACGCUAUCAGAUGAGCCUAGGUCGGAUUAGCUAGUUGGUGGGGUAAAGGCCUACCAAGGCGACGAUCCGUAACUGGUCUGAGAGGAUGAUCAGUCACACUGGAACUGAGACACGGUCCAGACUCCUACGGGAGGCAGCAGUGGGGAAUAUUGGACAAUGGGCGAGAGUCUGAUCCAGCCAUGCCGCGUGUGUGAAGAAGGUCUUCGGAUUGUAAAGCACUUUAAGUUGUGAGGAAGGGCAGUAAGUUAAUACCUUGCUGUUUUGACGUUACCAACAGAAUAAGCACCGGCUAACUUCGUG
This 484-nucleotide ribosomal RNA is filed under the name uncultured bacterium. Its description in RNAcentral is "partial 16S ribosomal RNA". It matches the Rfam family "Bacterial small subunit ribosomal RNA", at positions 30 to 507 of the family's 1533-position model. The record is from RNAcentral.